This 254-nucleotide ribosomal RNA is filed under the name uncultured bacterium. Its description in RNAcentral is "partial 16S ribosomal RNA". It matches the Rfam family "Bacterial small subunit ribosomal RNA", at positions 524 to 777 of the family's 1533-position model. The record is from RNAcentral.
UACGUAGGGCGCAAGCGUUGUCCGGAUUCACUGGGUGUAAAGGGUGCGUAGGCGGGAAGGUAAGUCCGCGGUGAAAUCUCACAGCUCAACUGUGAAACUGCCGUUGAUACUGCUUUUCUUGAGUUCGGGAGAGGUUGAUGGAAUUCCAGGUGUAGCGGUGAAAUGCGUAGAUAUCUGGAAGAACACCAGUGGCGAAGGCGGUCAACUGGCCCGUAACUGACGCUGAGGCACGAAAGCGUGGGGAGCGAACGAGG